This 552-nucleotide long non-coding RNA is filed under the name Rattus norvegicus (Norway rat). Its description in RNAcentral is "long non-coding RNA NONRATT032661". The record is from RNAcentral. Lineage: Eukaryota; Metazoa; Chordata; Mammalia; Rodentia; Muridae.
CAAUUAUUAUUUGCGGCAACACAACUUGUGUCAUUAAAGACAAGAGCCAGUGCUGUGGAGAUGGCACUGAAGAUGCAUCCCGGCUCGUUCGUUUCCACCCCCAAGAAGAAGUUCACUGUAUAGAAGCGAAACCCAACCCGUUCCACAUACAAUACAAACAAAAAUUCCGGCGCGAGCGCGACGCGUGAUGAAGGGAAAAGUCUGCCUUCGCAGGACGGGGUUUUACACGGACUCAGAGAAGCCAUCGGCAAAGCUGUGAGCAGAAGACAGGAGACGAGCAUUGAGCUGAGCAACAAAAGGAUGCUUGGAGACAGCCCUGGGUGGGAUGGGGCCGCUUACAAUCCCACGUGGUGAAGCAGCCAUUGCUGGCUCCCCCGGAGACACUGUGGAGAGGGAAAUAAGGUGGAGCUAACACUAUUCACUGUUUCGUUGGUAGAUUUUAAGAGAGAAGCUGUUACAUUUUCCUUUUUUCAUGCAAGAAAGACAAAAUGACUAAAAUAAUAAACCAUGUACGGUGAGGGCUCAGCACCCACCCAGUAGCACUGCAAGUAA